AUGUUUUGUACAUCACUAUUUCAAACAAAAACAAACAAAAAUCUGCGAAAAUGUAUGAAAAAUCUACAGGUGUCGCCUACGAGCGCAUCCAAGGGUAAGCAUGUCAGCACACGCCACAAGAGGAGAAUACAAAUAUCAUAGAGGCCCCGGCGCGGAUCCCUGAAGAUUUCAAAUUAAAUCAAUAGCAGUUUUUGAUAACCUCUCGUUAUAGGAUAAGUCUACAUAUCUCCUUGUCCAGGCGGUCCAAUUUUGGAAAAUUAAGUAGCAUCGCAUCUACUUCUGAGAAAGUGAAAGCCAGUCAGAAAAACGGAAAGCUCCUCGGCUAUUUUCAUAAUCAUAAUUCCUAAUACAUAUACAUAUGCACAUGCAUGCUUCAAGGAAAACACCAUCCUUCUGAAGUACUGAAGUCUGAAUAAACGUCGUUUUGCAGAUCAACUUGGUACACCUAUUGUCUCUUUCCUAGAGUCCUACCUCUUCCUCCAAUGGCAUAAAAAACACCGCCAAUUAUAUAGUUUCUUAUAGAACCUUUCGCUUUGCGGGGUGCUCUUGUCAUAGUGGAGUACUGGUAGAAGAAUAACUUCCGAUCCCGUGCAUACAUCUGUAACGAUUCCGUUGGGUCAUCAAAAAGUGAAGAUCUGUGUAGUUUCUUUUGGGCUGCAAUAACAUCGCUUUAAUUCACACGCUGUUGCUGAGCGUUGGCAUUAUUUUGUAUCUGUA
Drosophila miranda is the source of this 717-nucleotide long non-coding RNA. RefSeq lists it as uncharacterized. The transcript has 2 exons. NCBI's taxonomy places the organism in Eukaryota, Metazoa, Arthropoda, Insecta, Diptera, Drosophilidae. The record is from RefSeq and is a predicted model, not a curated record.